AUGGGCAGGGUGAAGGUGCAGUAACAUGCACUGGAGGCCCGAACCGUUGCACGUUGAAAAGUGCUCGGAUGACCUGUGCCUAGGGGUGAAAGGCCAAUCAAACUUGCUGAUAGCUGGUUCUCCGCGAAAUCUAUUUAGGUAGAGCGUCGAUCGAAUACUCUCGGGGGUAGAGCACUGACUGGGCUAGGGGUCCUCACCGGAUUACCAAACCUUAUCAAACUCCGAAUACCGAGAAGUACUAAUCGGCAGACACACGGCGGGUGCUAACGUCCGUCGUGGAGAGGGAAACAACCCUGACCACCAAUUAAGGUCCCCAAAUAAUGGCUAAGUGUGAAAGGAUGUGGGAUUGCUUUGACAAUGAGGAGGUUGGCUUAGAAGCAGCCAUCCUUUAAAGAAAGCGUAACAGCUCACUCAUCAAGCGAUCCUGCGCCGAAAAUGUAACGGGGCUAAAGCCAUUUACCGAAAUUGUGGGCUCGUAAGAGCGGUAGCGGAGCGUUCCGUAAGCCUGUGAAGGUAAACCGUAAGGUUUGCUGGAGGUAUCGGAAGUGAGAAUGUUGACAUGAGUAGCGACAAAGCGGGUGAGAGACCCGCUCGCCGAAAAUCCAAGGGUUCCUGCGUAAAGCUAAUCUGCGCAGGGUUAGCCGGCCCCUAAGGCGAGGCCGAAAGGCGUAGCCGAUGGGAACCACGUUAAUAUUCGUGGGCCUGGGAGUGUGUGACGGAU
This 721-nucleotide ribosomal RNA is filed under the name Prymnesium polylepis. RNAcentral's name for it is "partial Bacterial large subunit ribosomal RNA". It matches the Rfam family "Bacterial large subunit ribosomal RNA", at positions 736 to 1463 of the family's 2925-position model. Lineage: Eukaryota; Haptophyta; Prymnesiales; Prymnesiaceae. The record is from RNAcentral.